This 605-nucleotide ribosomal RNA is filed under the name uncultured Bacilli bacterium. RNAcentral describes it as "bacterial SSU rRNA". It matches the Rfam family "Bacterial small subunit ribosomal RNA", at positions 99 to 688 of the family's 1533-position model. The record is from RNAcentral. Lineage: Bacteria; Bacillati; Bacillota; Bacilli.
CGGACGGGUGAGUAACACGUGGGUAACCUGCCUGUAAGACUGGGAUAACUCCGGGAAACCGGGGCUAAUACCGGAUGCUUGAUUGAACCGCAUGGUUCAAUCAUAAAAGGUGGCUUUUAGCUACCACUUGCAGAUGGACCCGCGGCGCAUUAGCUAGUUGGUGAGGUAACGGCUCACCAAGGCGACGAUGCGUAGCCGACCUGAGAGGGUGAUCGGCCACACUGGGACUGAGACACGGCCCAGACUCCUACGGGAGGCAGCAGUAGGGAAUCUUCCGCAAUGGACGAAAGUCUGACGGAGCAACGCCGCGUGAGUGAUGAAGGUUUUCGGAUCGUAAAACUCUGUUGUUAGGGAAGAACAAGUACCGUUCGAAUAGGGCGGUACCUUGACGGUACCUAACCAGAAAGCCACGGCUAACUACGUGCCAGCAGCCGCGGUAAUACGUAGGUGGCAAGCGUUGUCCGGAAUUAUUGGGCGUAAAGCGCGCGCAGGCGGUUUCUUAAGUCUGAUGUGAAAGCCCCCGGCUCAACCGGGGAGGGUCAUUGGAAACUGGGGAACUUGAGUGCAGAAGAGGAGAGUGGAAUUCCACGUGUAGCGGUGAAAUG